UACGUGGGGUCCAAGCGUUGUCCGGAUUUAUUGGGCGUAAAGAGCUCGUAGGCGGUUCCGUAAGUCGGAUGUGAAAACUCAGGGCUCAACCCGGAGACGCCAUCUGAUACUGCGGUGACUGGAGUCUGGUAGGGGAACACGGAAUACCUGGUGUAGCGGUGAAAUGCGCAGAUAUCAGGAGGAACACCGGUGGCGAAGGCGGAUCUCUGGGCCAGUACUGACACUGAGGAGCGAAAGCGUGGGUAGCGAACAGG
Molecule: ribosomal RNA, 254 nt
Filed under: uncultured bacterium
Lineage: Bacteria
Description: partial 16S ribosomal RNA
Rfam family: Bacterial small subunit ribosomal RNA
Source: RNAcentral